UCCUCUUUUAUAUCUAAAAUUGCCCUCGUAUUCCUCUGUAAUGAGCAGUGUGGAAGGGAUGUGAUGUUUUUCUUCAUUAUCCAUAAAAAUAUCUUUUACUUUGCUCGAUUUUUUAUUAAGAUAUGGUAAGGUGAUUUACCGAGUCGUCUUUAAAUGCACCAGGAGUGUAAACAUGGCGGGGCCGAUUACGACUGUGGAUCUGAAAGUGGAGGCUCAUAUUCAGCCAGAACCAAAAAGCAAAAAUACUUCUCAGUUUUCUUCCAAACAAACCGAGUAAAUCGAAUAACGCUGCUCCAUGCAGAUAAUGUUAGCUAACAGACGACUAGCUAAUCCAUGUUAUCAUAUUAAGCUUGUUAGCAAGAAUGCUAAUGUUGUUUUCCGUAUUUUACAUCCCUUGAAGGUUAGUUACUGCCAGGAAUAAAACCAAAUCCUCUUUAAUUUUGCUGCAGAAGUUGUGCGCAGUGUUGCUCUCCACACAGUUUCUGUGAAGAAAUUAUUCACAGAAUAAAAAGAGUCAGGAAGGAAGGAGACAUGCAGAAAAGAAGCGAGUAUCGAGCCAAACCUUUUAUCCGCCGAGGUCAAGUUUCGGCCAGAUGUUGGUGCCACUCUGCACAGUCUGGACACACACUCGCUCCGCUCCGUCUUGGUUUCAGCCCUGCGUUCAGCAGGCGUUUUCUGUGCAGAGAUAAUUAGCAUCAUUCCAGAUUCGGGGCGUUUUGCAGACACACAGAAGCAGGUAGAGAAAACUCUCCACCCUUACUUCGUCCUUGGUUUUGAGUUUGAUGGCGCAGGGGGAAAUCCUGUCUCCCCUCCACUGAGGUCGCCUGGGCGCAUCGUUCCUGUAAUGACUGUUAUUCCUAUAAACCUCCAGAGGCUCCAGCCUGAAGGGGGCAGUCCGAGUUUUCCUCGGCCGCCGGCUGGAAGAGGCUUUAAUGAACAUCACAGGAACCAACGCUGAACUGAAGAGGCACAAUGGAGAAAGACCACAGAGGAUUCACUCAUCAAACAACCCAGGAAGCGUCUCCACGGGAAGCAGAAGAAAAAAGGAAUAAUAAUUGUGUAUACUCUGAAGGUCCAAGAUUUGUCAUUAUAGAAUGGAAGAACAGAGGGAGAAAGAAUAAGCAAGGGAUUUCUGACGUUAUUUAAAGAAGUUUUAAUCAUUAGUCGGCUGUGCGGCGUGGCCAGAGGAGCCACCGCGGCCUCCUCCUGCGAAGAGAACAUGAUCAAAGAGGAGGAAGGUUAAAUGAGUUUAGUUGGUAGAAAGACAAGAAAAACUGACCGGGGUUUCUCACACGCCCGCUGAAUGACAAUGUAACGCCACGAAAUCCUACAAAUGGUGGACUCUCAGUUUCCCUCCAGACUGAAGCGACACAAAGAGCUGGAAAUCUAUUCAAAUCUCCUCGUGUGGCAUAAAGUGAGAAUCAACUGUUUGUUAGCUGCGACUCUCCAGCUGUCCCCGUGUUUGCCAGGCUUGAGCUCCCCACGUUCUCCUCAGUCUGUACGCAGCGCGAGGCUUAUCUCUGCUGAUCUUUUGUCCUUAAUAAACACUUACUUCACAA
Gambusia affinis (western mosquitofish) is the source of this 1559-nucleotide long non-coding RNA. RefSeq lists it as uncharacterized. The transcript has 5 exons. The record is from RefSeq and is a predicted model, not a curated record. NCBI's taxonomy places the organism in Eukaryota, Metazoa, Chordata, Actinopteri, Cyprinodontiformes, Poeciliidae.